This 302-nucleotide ribosomal RNA is filed under the name uncultured bacterium. Its description in RNAcentral is "bacterial SSU rRNA". It matches the Rfam family "Bacterial small subunit ribosomal RNA", at positions 28 to 318 of the family's 1533-position model. The record is from RNAcentral.
GACGAACGCNGGCGGCGUGCCUAAUACAUGCAAGUCGAACGAGAGCGACCGGUGCUUGCACUGGUCAAUCUAGUGGCGAACGGGUGAGUAACACGUGGGUAACCUGCCCAUCAGAGGGGGAUAACAUCCGGAAACGGAUGCUAAAACCGCAUAGGUCUUCGAGCCGCAUGGCUUGAAGAGGAAAAGAGGCGCAAGCUUCUGCUGAUGGAUGGACCCGCGGUGCAUUAGCUAGUUGGUGAGGUAACGGCUCACCAAGGCCGUGAUGCAUAGCCGACCUGAGAGGGUGGUCGGCCACAUUGGGA